RNAcentral lists this microRNA precursor (170 nucleotides) under Oryza glumipatula. RNAcentral's name for it is "MIR812 microRNA precursor family". It matches the Rfam family "MIR812 microRNA precursor family". Lineage: Eukaryota; Viridiplantae; Streptophyta; Magnoliopsida; Poales; Poaceae. The record is from Rfam by way of RNAcentral.
UUUAAGAAUGGUUGUGGCUUUCCGUGUCCAACGUUUGACCAUUUAUUUUAUUUGAAUUUUUUUUAGAUUAGUAUUUUUAGAUGAUAUGACAUGAAUAGUACUUUAUUCUUUUUUUAUUUUUAUCAUAAAUUUUUUAAAUAAGACGGACGAUCAAACAUGGAAAAUGAGAU